AGUGAACGCUGCGGUAGGCCUAACACAUGCAAGUCGCACGGCAGCACAGUAAGAGCUUGCUCUUACGGGUGGCGAGUGGCGGACGGGUGAGGAAUACAUCGGAAUCUACUUUUUCGUGGGGGAUAACGUAGGGAAACUUACGCUAAUACCGCAUACGACCUACGGGUGAAAGCAGGGGAUCUUCGGACCUUGCGCGAUUGAAUGAGCCGAUGUCGGAUUAGCUAGUUGGCGGGGUAAAGGCCCACCAAGGCGACGAUCCGUAGCUGGUCUGAGAGGAUGAUCAGCCACACUGGAACUGAGACACGGUCCAGACUCCUACGGGAGGCAGCAGUGGGGAAUAUUGGACAAUGGGCGCAAGCCUGAUCCAGCCAUACCGCGUGGGUGAAGAAGGCCUUCGGGUUGUAAAGCCCUUUUGUUGGGAAAGAAAAGCAGCAGGUUAAUACCCCGCUGUUCUGACGGUACCCAAAGAAUAAGCACCGGCUAACUUCGUG
Molecule: ribosomal RNA, 491 nt
Filed under: uncultured bacterium
Lineage: Bacteria
Description: partial 16S ribosomal RNA
Rfam family: Bacterial small subunit ribosomal RNA
Source: RNAcentral